UACGUAGGCAGCAAGCGUUGUUCGGAGUUACUGGGCGUAAAGGGUGUGUAGGCGGUUUUUUAAGUUUGGGGUGAAAUCUCCCGGCUCAACUGGGAGGGUGCGCCGAAUACUGAAAGACUAGAGUGCGGGAGAGGAAAGUGGAAUUCCUGGUGUAGCGGUGAAAUGCGUAGAUAUCAGGAGGAACACCGGUGGUGUAGACGGCUUUCUGGACCGUAACUGACGCUGAGGCACGAAAGCGUGGGUAGCAAACAGG
Molecule: ribosomal RNA, 253 nt
Filed under: uncultured bacterium
Lineage: Bacteria
Description: partial 16S ribosomal RNA
Rfam family: Bacterial small subunit ribosomal RNA
Source: RNAcentral